ACUUAUAAUUGUUGGUGCAUUAUUCUAGUGUAUGAACUUAUUAAGAGGGUAGGGCUAAAAAUCUACUAGAAAGAUAUCACUUAAAUCGAAGUUUUUUAAGUUUUGCGCAUUACGCCCAGUUUUGCGUGGGCUUAGAGAGUAAAGAAUUUAGGAUAGGUUGUAAUGGCAUACAGUUGAUUCCUACUUUCGUUGAGACUUGAGUAAAAAAAACCUUAAGUACAAAUCUAUAUGUUUUAUCUAUUAUAUAGGUUGUGGUAUCUGUCUUGAGUGAUUCUUGGGGAUUAGGCAUUUUACAUAGCUUCUAUGAAACACGUUUUGCAAAAGAGACUAAGAAUAAGUUAAUCAUAUUCAAAGAAAUUUUCUAGAAUGUUUGCUCUAAAUCAAGGGUGAAGAGUUGUAAGGAUUAAGGUACGGCUUCAGUGGCGAUCUAGCUCCUUUUUCUACAAGGUGUUUUUCUUAAAUGGAAACGGCUAAGUAGUAAUGCUUAGUGAAAAACAGAGAAAUUCUGCUAGACCUUAAACCGUAAAAUUUACUUGCAUCUCUACCAACUUAAGAUUUU
RNAcentral lists this small RNA (559 nucleotides) under human gut metagenome. The record is from RNAcentral.